RNAcentral lists this ribosomal RNA (253 nucleotides) under uncultured bacterium. RNAcentral describes it as "partial 16S ribosomal RNA". It matches the Rfam family "Bacterial small subunit ribosomal RNA", at positions 524 to 776 of the family's 1533-position model. The record is from RNAcentral.
UACGAAGGGGGCUAGCGUUAAUCGGAAUUACUGGGCGUAAAGCGUGCGCAGGCGGCUUUGCAAGACAGAUGUGAAAUCCCCGGGCUCAACCUGGGAACUGCAUUUGUGACUGCAAGGCUAGAGUACGGCAGAGGGGGAUGGAAUUCCGCGUGUAGCAGUGAAAUGCGUAGAUAUGCGGAGGAACACCAAUGGCGAAGGCAAUCCCCUGGGCCUGUACUGACGCUCAUGCACGAAAGCGUGGGGAGCAAACAGG